AAACCAACAGGGAUUGCCUCAGUAGCGGCGAGUGAAGCGGCAAGAGCUCAGAUUUGAAAUCGUGCUUUGCGGCACGAGUUGUAGAUUGCAGGUUGGAGUCUGUGUGGAAGGCGGUGUCCAAGUCCCUUGGAACAGGGCGCCCAGGAGGGUGAGAGCCCCGUGGGAUGCCGGCGGAAGCAGUGAGGCCCUUCUGACGAGUCGAGUUGUUUGGGAAUGCAGCUCCAAGCGGGUGGUAAAUUCCAUCUAAGGCUAAAUACUGGCGAGAGACCGAUAGCGAACAAGUACUGUGAAGGAAAGAUGAAAAGCACUUUGAAAAGAGAGUGAAACAGCACGUGAAAUUGUUGAAAGGGAAGGGUAUUGCGCCCGACAUGGGGAUUGCGCACCGCUGCCUCUCGUGGGCGGCGCUCUGGGCUUUCCCUGGGCCAGCAUCGGUUCUUGCUGCAGGAGAAGGGGUUCUGGAACGUGGCUCUUCGGAGUGUUAUAGCCAGGGCCAGAUGCUGCGUGCGGGGACCGAGGACUGCGGCCGU
RNAcentral lists this ribosomal RNA (527 nucleotides) under Pichia kudriavzevii. RNAcentral's name for it is "eukaryotic LSU rRNA". It matches the Rfam family "Eukaryotic large subunit ribosomal RNA", at positions 62 to 602 of the family's 3401-position model. The record is from RNAcentral. Lineage: Eukaryota; Fungi; Ascomycota; Pichiomycetes; Pichiales; Pichiaceae.